AUUGAACGCGUGGCGGCGUGCUUAACACAUGCAAGUCGAUCGGUAACAGGUGUAGCAAUACAUGCUGACGAGAGGCGGACGGGUGAGUAAUGCUUGGGAAUCUGCCUAUUAGUGGGGGACAACCCGGGGAAACUCGGGCUAAUACCGCAUACGCUCUACGGAGGAAAGCCGGGGACCGCAAGGCCUGGCGCUAAUAGGAUGAGCCCAAGUCGGAUUAGCUAGUUGGAGGUAACGGCCUACAAGGCGACAAUCCGUAGCUGGUCUGAGAGGACGACCAGCCACACCGGAACUGAGACACGGUCCGGACUCCUACGGGAGGCAGC
This 323-nucleotide ribosomal RNA is filed under the name uncultured bacterium. RNAcentral describes it as "bacterial SSU rRNA". It matches the Rfam family "Bacterial small subunit ribosomal RNA", at positions 37 to 352 of the family's 1533-position model. The record is from RNAcentral.